Molecule: ribosomal RNA, 440 nt
Filed under: uncultured bacterium
Lineage: Bacteria
Description: partial 16S ribosomal RNA
Rfam family: Bacterial small subunit ribosomal RNA
Source: RNAcentral
CCUACGGGUGGCAGCAGUGGGGAAUAUUGCACAAUGGGGGAAACCCUGAUGCAGCGACGCCGCGUGAAGGAAGAAGUAUUUCGGUAUGUAAACUUCUAUCAGCAGGGAAGAAAAUGACGGUACCUGACUAAGAAGCCCCGGCUAACUACGUGCCAGCAGCCGCGGUAAUACGUAGGGGGCAAGCGUUAUCCGGAUUUACUGGGUGUAAAGGGAGCGUAGGCGGUUUAGCAAGUCAGAAGUGAAAGCCCGGGGCUCAACUCCGGGACUGCUUUUGAAACUGUUGAACUAGAGUGCAGGAGAGGUAAGUGGAAUUCCUAGUGUAGCGGUGAAAUGCGUAGAUAUUAGGAGGAACACCAGUGGCGAAGGCGGCUUACUGGACUGUAAAUGACGCUGAGGCUCGAAAGCGUGGGGAGCAAACAGGAUUAGAUACCCUAGUAGUC